UUGAUGACUACCGACAGUUCCUGUGGCUUGCUUGGCGACAAGCGUAGGUCGUCGGUUCGAUUCCGACAGGCGGCUCCA
RNAcentral lists this transfer RNA (78 nucleotides) under Actinoplanes octamycinicus. RNAcentral describes it as "tRNA-OTHER". Lineage: Bacteria; Bacillati; Actinomycetota; Actinomycetes; Micromonosporales; Micromonosporaceae. The record is from RNAcentral.